GUGGCCGCGGCGGCGCGCGCUGCGAGAUAGGAUUGAUUCCCCGCGGCCAGCUGCGCGCAACCCAAGGGAAGAGUCCCUUGCCUCUGCGAGUCUCCGGGAUCGCGCUGGGUUAGUGGCAAGAGGGGCGACCGCCGGUGGGGCGAAGGCCCCAAGGCCCCGGCGGCCUCGAGGUGGCUUGUUUGGGCUAGCGGGGCCUGCCCAGCCCCUCCGCCCCCAGUACCCGGGCUGGAAAUGUGAAUUCAAGGCUGCACCCGCCCUGGUCACCUCUAACUGCCAGGGUGACAGUUCCAAAGUCAUGGGAAAUCUAACACCUAGCUCCAGGAUGAACGCUGUAACCUUUAUGGGACUAAUCGAGUGGAAUUAUUUGAUGGUCCUGAAGAAGAACUGGACUGUAUCCUCUGCAAGAAAAGUCUACUGGCUACACAGAUGUCUCAUCUCAGCUCUUUCAGGGCUGGCUUAAGUUUGGAGAAGAGGAAGCAUACUCCUGAAGAUGUCCCAGAAAGUCCAUAUGGUUGAGUUUCCCAUGUUUGCAUCAUGUUGGAAGCUGGUAAAACAAUUUGCUAUACUCUGAUGUGCAUGGAGGCUUCCUCAUCUUCAUCAAGUGUCAUAACUUUAAAGACUUGACAGAUUCAUUUACUCAUGUAUUUAUAUAUUGAUGUAGUACCGUGUUAGAUAUUGGACAGCCACAGAGUCAGCUUUAAGUAGUUGCCAUCACUGUAGGGAAGAUAAAAGUCAGGCAAGUCUGUGAGUAUAUCAAACAGAAUAUGUCUGGGGCUAGGUACAUGCCUUGAGCCGGCUCAAGUGCUUUCUAAACAUAAGCUGAUACUACAAACAAAUAAACAAACAAAAAAUCAUCGUAGCAAAAGAUGUACAAAAAGUCCCGGGGAUUCUAAGACAAGUAGGAAAGAUUAUAGCAUGAUGGUGUUGUCUAGGGGAAAAAUCAACUCUUCAAGCUUGUGCUAAAUCAUUGAUUAAUAUCAGAUUUUAGAAACCCAAGGGCAACUUUGCAUGAGACUGUUGGUUGUAUUGCCAUUAUGUCAACAUCUUGCUAUUUCUAUGCUCAAAAAAAGUGAUCUUUUAAUAAACCAAGGACAUUUCUCAUAUUUCACCCUCCAUUUUACAUGCUCUGUUAUAGAUAAAAUUGUCACCUUAUUCCAAAAGUAUAGCUGAUGAAUUAUUAUAGCCAUCUCUAAAGAUGAGAUGAACCAGGGGAACAUACCAGAAAUGAGUUUGAGCUUAGUAACUUUGUACAAGUUAAUGUUUUUGAGCUUCAGUUUCUUCCUCUAUAUAAUGCCUGCUUGGUUCAUAAAGUUUAUUACAUGAAUCAAAUGAUAAUAAAUGUAAAUGCAUUUGGAAAACUGUAAAGUUGCAUUUAAAUGUGAGUAUGAUUAUGUCUAUUUACUCUUGUAAUUUUGUAGAUAUUUUAACAUCCCUCAUUAGUUUACUUAAAAAAAUCCUUGAAGAUUCUCUAGAUUAAUUUGCAGUUAUUUGAUUAAUCUUUCCAAAAUAUUUUAUAGCAACUUUAAUGUGAUUGUAUUUCUUUAUAUUAAUUUUGGAAGGAUUGAUGUCUUGACCACAACAGGUGUUUUAAAUUAGUAACAUGAUAUGUUGAUCUACUAUUGAUUCAUUUUAGCGUAUUUAUUAUUUCAUUUAUUGUAUUCUUCAACUCUAUUUUCUAACCUAUUGUUCAAGUUCUCUUUUGUGUUCAUCCAUUCUUCUUCCAAAUACGUUGAGUUUCUUUAUGCUCAUUACCUUGAACUCUUUAUUGGUAGUUUGGUCAUAUCUACUUGUUUAGUUAUUUUUAUGAGGUUUUGUCUUAUUCCUUCAUUUGGAACAUAUCUCAUUUUGCUUAAUUUUCUGUGUUUAUUUCUAUGUAUUAGAUGGGCUGGUUAUGUUUCUCAAUGUUGGAGAAGUGGCCUAUGUGGAGACAUUUUAGGGGCUGAGCAGAACACUCCCCUCUGGUUACCAGGGCUGUAUGCUGUAGGAGUGCUCCCUCUGUGGGCUGUUGGGUCCUUCUAUCAUGGUUUGGUGGCUAUUGUGGGCAUGCUGCUAGGUGGGGCUGGCCUCUAGCCUGGUUGGUUGCCAGGCCCUGUGUUGUGCGGUAGCUGCUGGCCCACUGGUGGGCAGGGUUGCAUCAGUACUGCUGACUUGGAUUUUUAGACAUCUUUAACAGGAGGGUCCAUCUGAUUCACUUAAACUUUUAUUAUAAGCAGUUGAAAUUCCAUUCCAGCUUUUAGAGCAUGAGAUGGCAUAAUUUGGUAUCAAGUUAAAAAAUAUUGCAUUAGCUGUUGUGUGGAUGUUGGAUGCAGGGUAAGAGCAGGAGCAAGGAGACCAGUAAAGAGGCCUGGCAGUUAAACAGAUGAGAGGUAAAGGGGAUUUGGGCGAGGAUGGGUGAGAUGGAGAGAAGUUAUAUAGAUUUAUUUCUGAAAUAACGAAGUAGAUUUAUUUCUGAAAUACCAGGACUUUAUCUUAGACUAUAAAUGAUUUAAAAGGGUGGCUUUAAGGGUGACUUCUAUAAUUUGGCUUUGGUAACUCAGUGGAGAUUGUGCCAUUCACAUUAUAGAAAUGUAAUGCUGCUAACUUCCACACACAGGAAAAAGUGGGUAUGUCAAGAAAAUGGCUGGAUGUGAGCCCAGAAUUCAGGGGAGAGAUGAAGAGAUGCAAAUUUGGGCUCUUCAGCAUAGAGGUGACACUUAGAGCUAGGGAUGGGUUAUAUAACCUGGGGAGAAAACAUGAGAAAGAAGAGGAAAGGUCUGGAACUUCCCUGAGGAAUUCCGACAUGCAAAAUUCAGGUGGAAGAGGGGGAGUCUUUGAGAGAAAAUACGAAAGACUUGCUCAGGGAGGUAAUAGGAAAAUCAACAAAAUAGGGAGCUGCUGAAAGAAAAGAUGAACUGAAGGAGAAUUGAGAGGCUAUUUCAAAGGAUUUUAACAGAUCAAGUAAUUAAUACAAGAGAAAAUAGCUAUUGGACUUGUCAGCAUAGACCUCUUCCAAGACCACGGCAAAAGCACCUUUCUGGGAGGGAUGUAGAUUGGAGUAAGGUGGAAGCAAACAAAAAUAACUUUUGUAAAUAUCCCCUACAAAGGGCAUGGCUUCACGUCCCUGGCUGCCUGUUAUUACUUCUCUGACUUGUCAUUAUAUUUCCUUGGACUUGUUAUAACAGGACCUGGGGAUGCUUGCCUUUGGUGUGAGAUGCUUCCAACUCUAUACAUGGUGGGGAAUGAAGCAUGCGAGCUCCUCAGUUCAAAAAUGAACUUUUAUUCUCAAAAGCAUUUCAUAUUAGUAAGUUAGUUCAACAAAAAUAGACCUGAUAGGUGAAGGGUUAUUAACUGCCAUGAUUGUGGACAUCAGAAAAAAGAGAGUAAGUGAAACUAUUUAAUGAUUCUUUAUCAAGCUUUCCUGUACAGCCCCCUCCUGCCUCAUACCAGGGUUAUUGCAACUAUAUUCUAACUCAUUUCUCCACUUCCAGACUUAUACACUACUUUAAUGUCCUUAAAACAAUGACUUCAUUUCACCUUUUGACUGAGGAGAAACUUAAAUGGGUCUCCAUUUAGCUAACACUGUCCUUUGUACCUGACAGUAUGUAUGUCAUUGUACGAUGAAGUAGUAGAAAAAAAUUCCAACACUUACUAGUAACAUACUGUCCCUCAAACUUCAUACUUAUCUAUAAUUAUGAUUUUUGACAUGACCUCUUUUUUAUUUUCAAUGAUUUUUAUUUUUUCUCAUUUCUAUUAAUAAAAAUAAAGUCAAGAGGGUUCACAUGAAAAUGUGCUUGACAUUGGUAAUUACUAGAGAAAUGCAAAUCAAAACUACAAUGAGAUACCACUUCACACUGGUCAGAAGGGCCAUCAUUAAAAAGUCUACAAAUAAAAAAUGUUGGAGAAGGUGUGGAGAAAAGUGAACCCUCCUACACUGCUAGUGGGAAUAUAAAUUGGUACAACCACUAUGGAAAACAGUUGGAGGUUCCUCAGAAAACUUGAAAAAUAGAACUACCAUAUGAUCCAGCAAAUCCACUCUUGGGCAUAUCUCCAGACAAAACUGUACAUGCAGCCCUAUGUUCAUUGAAGUACUAUUCACAAGAGCCAAGGCAUGGAAACAACCUAAAUGUCCAUCAACAAAUAAAUGGAUAAAGAAGAUGUGGUGCAUAUACACAAUGGAAUACUACUCAGCCAUAAAAAGAAUGAAAUAAUGCCAUUUGCAGCAACAUAGAUGCAACUAGAGACUAUCCCACUAAGUGAAGUAAGUCAGAAGGAGAAAAACAAUGAUAGCAUAUGAUAUCACAUAUAUGCAGAAUCUAAAAUAUGAUGCAAAUGAACCUAUCUAUAAAACAGAAAUUGACUCAUAGACAGAGAUCAGACUUGUGGUUGCCAAGGGGGAGGAGAAGGGGGAGGGAUGGAUUGGGAGUUUGGGGUUAGUAGAUGCAAACUACUAUAUAUAGAAUGAAUAAAUAACAAGUUCCUACUGUAUAGCAUAGGGAACAAUAUUCAGUAUCCCAGAAUAAAGCAUAAUGGAAAAGAACAUAAAAAUGAAUGUAUAUAUGUGUAUAACUGGGUCAUUUGCUGUACAACAGAAAUUAAUACAACAUUGUAAAUAAACUAUACUUCAAUGAAAAAUAAUUUAAUAAACU
Molecule: long non-coding RNA, 4625 nt
Filed under: Sus scrofa (pig)
Lineage: Eukaryota; Metazoa; Chordata; Mammalia; Artiodactyla; Suidae
Description: lncRNA (ENSSSCG00040024991.1)
Source: RNAcentral